AAGUCCAGGCCCUGUGAUAUUCGUUAAAGUUGUGGGUCAUUGAAAAAGCUUUGGGUUUCAGAGGGAGCGUGCUAGGGUUUCUACAGAGUUGAAAAUGUCACUCAAGAAGCAAGUUGUGCUUCUUUCCAAACCCUGCUUUCUUCUUCCAUCAACCUCUUGCUACCAUUCUCAUUCUCACUCUCACUCUCACUCUCUGCCUCCUUCCAUUCACAAUGUUGAUGAUGCCGUAUCCUUAUUCAACCGCUUGCUCCAAACGAGUCCUACCCCAUCCAUCAUCGAAUUUGGUAAGAUUUUAACCACCCUCGUGAAGAUGAAGCAUUACCCCACUGCUAUUUCCCUUUCUCACCAAAUGGAAUCUAAGGGAAUUAUUUCUAACAUUGUUACUAUGAGCAUCUUGAUCAAUUGUUACUGCCACAUAGGUCAAAUACCUUUCGCCUUUUCUGUACUCGCUAAACUUCUCAAGAAGGGUUAUCAGCCCAACACUGUCACCUUCACUACACUUAUCAAAGGCCUCUGUCUUAAUGGUCACGUUCAGAGAGCACUGCAAUUUCAUGAUCAUGUCGUGGCACAGGGGUUUCACUUGGAUCAAGUUAGUUACGGGACCUUGAUUAACGGAUUAUGUAAGAUGGGAAAAACAAGAGCUUCAUUGCAGUUGCUGCGAAAUAUUGAAGGGAAAUUGGUAAAGCCUAAUGUGGUAAUGUACAACACUAUCAUUGAUAGCUUGUGCAAAGAUAAACUUGUUAGUGAUGCGUUUAAUUUAUAUUCUGAAAUGGUUGCCAAGAGAGUUUUACCUGAUGUUUUCACUUACAAUGCUUUAAUAUAUGGCUUUAGCAUUGAGGGUCAAUUGAAAGAAGCAAUUGAUUUGUUCGCUGAAAUGGUGAUAAAAAACAUUGACCCGGAUGCUUAUACUUUUAAUAUACUGGUCGAUGGUUUAUGUAAGGAAGGAAAGGUGAAAGAAGCUAAAACUGUGUUAGCCUUGAUGAUGAAACAAGGUUUGAAACCUUAUGUUGUUACUUAUAAUUCUUUAAUGUAUGGGUAUUGCCUAGUUAGUGAAGUAAACAAGGCCAAAUACAUGUUGAACUUCAUGGCCCAAAGGGGAGUGACUCCUAAUGUCCAGAGCUACAGUAUUAUCAUUAAUGGAUUGUGCAAGAUUAGAAAGGUGGAUGAAGCUUUGAAUCUCCUUGCAGAAAUGGACUUAAAAAACAUUAUUCCUGAUACAGUCAUGUACAGUUCUCUUAUUGACGGUUUAUGCAAAUCAGGGAGAAUCUCUCAUGCUUGGAAGCUUGUUGAUGAGAUGCAUGUUAAAGGUCAACCAGCCAAUAUAAUCACCUACAAUUCUUUAUUGGAUGCUUUAUGCAAAAGUCAUCAUGUUGACAAGGCAAUUGCUUUAAUCCAGAAAAUUAAAGACCAGGGUAUUCAGCUAGAUGUGCGCACAUACAGUAUACUUAUGGAUGGACUGUGCAAAGAAGGAAGACUUAAGAAUGCACAAGAUGUUUUUCAGGAUCUUUUAACUAAAGGCUAUCAUGUAACUGUCCCAAUAUAUACUAUUAUGAUCAAUGGGCUUUGUAAAGAGGGUUUGUUUGAUGAAGCAUUGGCCUUGCUGUCUAAAAUGGAAGACAAUGGUUGCAUGCCUAAUGCUAUAACUUUCGAAACAAUCAUUCGUGCUCUAUUUGAGAAGGGUGAGAAUUAUAUGGCAGAGAAACUUCUACGUGAAAUGAUGGCAAGAGGUCUAUUGGAAAAGUAAAAAUAGGGUGACAACUACAUGCAUGCUAGUUCAUUUGGCAUUAGAAACAGAUCAUACCACUGAAAAACGUCUCAAUAAAGAAAUGGAUUGAGGGAAUGCAGCUGAGGAGGAAAGAAGAACAUAGAAUGGCAGAGUCAGGCCUUGAAAGACAUCCAAAUAUAUGACCAAGUAUGCACAUGCCCAGAUUUUGGCAAGUGUUUCACUGGCUUUGUUACAAAUUGGAUUGUUUUGCGGGUGGUUUACUUCAUGAUUAGUUAGCAGUUAGCAAAGUUGGAAUCUUCUACUGUCAAGUUCGGCAUUUAGUUAACCACCCAUGCAUAUGUGACUUGUCUAAUAAUUAUCAGGAUGAUUGGCUCAAGAUAUCAGCAAUUAUCUGUAGAAAUCUGCAGUUAUGGUAAGCAGAUGAUGAAGAAGAUAUGCCUGUGCUGAUGCCAGGGGAUGUGAUCCCAAAAUUCAUGGCCUCCAAGGGAUGAAAGGAUUUCAAUUCGUGUGGACAAGGCAGCAACUACUGAUUCUUACAUUAGCAGAAAUGUGGUUCUUUCUGCAUACUUGAACUCAUAUUUUGCUGACUCUUCUAGCGUAUCAAGGUUUCGAAAACAACAGACUUAAUAGUCUUGAGCUGAAAAAAGACUGGAUUUGCAUGUCAUCUUAAUAGACGAGAUUGAAAGAGAAAGAAGUGACUGGUGGUCAGGUUAGAGGCAUAGUACAGUCUAGUGACCGUUGAUUCUCCAUAGAAAUGGACUGAGUACUUAAAUAGCUUGCUGAUACUCUAUCAACCGGGCCUGAUGAGAAUUUGACUUGUCCCCGGUGAAAUGUUAGGUCUGCUUAUUGGCAUUUUUCUACCGUUACCAACUAUCUUAUCAUCAGAGCUUUGACUCUAGAUCCUUGCACUGUUGUUCUGCUUGUUCCUGCAUGGUGCUCACCGCAACAAUAUGAGUGAGAGGCAGGUCACAGUUCUAUUUAUGACAGGAAAGCUGAACUGAAAUCUUUUGAUUAUUCUAAAGCUGGUGUUAAAGUCCUUCUAGAAUCUGGUGUGACAAAGAUCCCAUACCUGUUUUAUUGUAACAUGUUUUGCACAAAUUAGAUUAGAGAUUCUGAAAUUCUUAAUUACAGGGCGCGCUAUAUGUAUGGCCUGAGAUUCUGAAAUUCUUAAGGAAGUUGUAAACACUUAUCAGCCUGGAUUUGUAUGGUAACAAGUAGGAGAGGAAAAUCCCAAAAUCACUUGGCAAGUUGAAGUCACUAAAAUUCCUGUAAUCAUGUUUAUGUUGAUUUUUCUUUUUCUUGA
RNA transcript from Lotus japonicus, 3029 nucleotides. It is a transcript of the gene named pentatricopeptide repeat-containing protein At1g12300, mitochondrial-like, with no coding region annotated. The record is from RefSeq and is a predicted model, not a curated record. Lineage: Eukaryota; Viridiplantae; Streptophyta; Magnoliopsida; Fabales; Fabaceae. The transcript is spliced from 7 exons.